Molecule: ribosomal RNA, 716 nt
Filed under: Rhizopogon semireticulatus
Lineage: Eukaryota; Fungi; Basidiomycota; Agaricomycetes; Boletales; Rhizopogonaceae
Description: eukaryotic LSU rRNA
Rfam family: 5.8S ribosomal RNA (bases 261-415)
Source: RNAcentral
UUCCGUAGGGUGAACCUGCGGAAGGAUCAUUAACGAAUAUAAUUCGAGGGGUUGUCGCUGGCCUCGCUCGCUCGCGCGAGGCAUGUGCACGCUUCUUGUUUUUCAUAACUCUCACCUGUGCACCUAAUGUAGGAUGCCUCUCCUCCGGGAGGGGGGACCUAUGUCUUCAUAUACAUCUUCGUGUAGAAAGUCUUUGAAUGUUUACUAUCAUCGAGUCGCGACUUCUAGGAGACGCGAUUCUUUGAGAUAAAAGUUAUUACAACUUUCAGCAAUGGAUCUCUUGGCUCUCGCAUCGAUGAAGAACGCAGCGAAAAGCGAUAUGUAAUGUGAAUUGCAGAUCUACAGUGAAUCAUCGAAUCUUUGAACGCACCUUGCGCUCCUCGGUGUUCCGAGGAGCAUGCCUGUUUGAGUGUCAGUAAAUUCUCAACCCCUCUCGAUUAGCUUCGAGAGGGUGCUUGGAUAGUGGAGGUUGCCGGAGACUCGGAUUCGUCCAGGACUCGGGCUCUUCUGAAAUGCAUUGGCUUGCGGUCGACUUUCGACUAUGCUCGACAAGGCUUUCGGCGUGAUAAUGAUCGCCGUUCGCCGAAGCGCAUGACCGAAGGUUCCGUGCCUCUAAUACGUCGACCACUUAUUAUCUCUCCGGAGAGAACAGGGUCUUCCUUAUUGACUUUUGACCUCAAAUCAGGUAGGACUACCCGCUGAACUUAAGCAUAUCA